GCGGACCAAACGGGCGAGCUGCUGGGCAAGGCGCGCGUCUCUACUCUCCAGGCAGUUUUGGCCCCUAGUUUUCUGCUGAACGCGAACCAUGUCCAUGCCGAACCCCCGCGCACACCACGCCAGCGGGGGUGGAGACGAAGGCGGCGCUGGCCGCGGCAAGUGACUCGGCAUAAGCAGCGCAGGAUCGCCGUCGUCCAUCCCCACCGCAGAAUCGACUGGCGAUUACAAAAUAGUGGACAAGAGUUAUAUGGUUUGAGUGCAUUAAUUUAGAAGAUUCGUCAUGUUCAAGCACUAGGAGUAUUUUCAGGAUGUCCGGUGCGAUUGAAAUGAUGACUUCUUGCAGGUAGUGCAGAGAGACUGAUAGUUGAUGUGGCAUGACAGCUCAGUAGUUCACUGCCCAUAGACAUAAUGUGAUAAUGCUCAUGUUUUCACACCUCACUAUGACAGAACUUGGUGCAUUAAGACUCUGUCUGGUAAGAUUCUAAAUGGUAGCAACUGCUUUUAUUCAAAUUACUCACAUUACAUUAUCCUGCAUUCCAAUGUACUACAGAAUUACAACUACCUUUCAAAUAGGUUCGCAAGUGCUCAGCAAUCUUGACUGUUAAAUAGAUUUUAGUGUCUUAGAAUGCUCUCAAAACUCUAAAUGCCAAUAACUGUAUGGAGAUCUCUGAAUCAUUUCACACAUACACUUCUGUCCUUCCAACUUCUCUUGACAACGGUCAAGUAUCCUUGAUUGUACAUGGUUGAGCUUGAUGUUGUAUUUUCCUCCUUGGUGGUUCUUACCAGAUGUGUUGCACAAGGUUGAAUCCCCAACACAAAUGAUAAACUGACACUUCCCCUCUUUAUCUAGAAUCAAAUUUCGACUGUGCAUACAGUUGAGCCAAUUCAUAUGCGUGCUUGGUGCAUUGCAUGUUCUGCGCAUGCCUGGUUGAUAAGAGCUCGGCAAGUGUUGGAAACUAUGUUGCCAUACACCAUAUCUUUGAGUAAAGGAUACCUUGUACUGUGGUAUUAAGAAACUCUGGCAAUUAAUUUACUUUGUCAUGUCAAAUUUACUUUUGCAAAUGGCUAAUCUAUCACGCAGCUAUUGAUCCAUCAUCCAUCCACAGCACUUCUUAUCUGUUCUGAAUAACCUUGUGUGUUCGAUGAAAAAUAUAAGAUUUUUUUUUCACUUGAUCAUCGUAGCAAUAUCCUGAAAUUUGAGCAAAUUUUACCCUUAACAUACCAGUUUGCCUUGGCUGCACAGCUGUCUGUUGACAGCAGCUUCCAAGCUCUACAAUCUUUAUGGUUCAUAAUAGGCAACUUUCUCAGUUCAUUGAGUGGAUCAAAUCACAAAAAAAAAAGGUGAUGAAUUGGUAAGUAAUCAAAGAAACUAUUUCUCUGUAUGUAUAUAGCACAGGAGCCUAUGAUAUUGUGGUUACUGAGCACUCCAAGUUACUUAUUUUAAUUUCAUAGGGAUAGAACUUUUUAUUCACUAGGGUCCAUCCUCCAAGUUCCCUUUUUUAUAUUUCUUGGGCCCCUGCAGAAUCACUCCCAGAAUAGUGGAUUUGGUCUCCUGGGUCGAGUUUCCUGGAGCUAAGCAUCUUUGCUGCCGGUACCACAAUAGAUCUGCUGGCUUUUGGCCGUCAGCAGGAGCAGAAGGCUGUUUUGAUGGUACAUUUGUUUGAUCUCUAGUCUUAAAGCCAAAGGUCAAUGUUCUGUGCUGCAAAAGGGACAUGGCGACUAACAGAAGUCCAAGAUUCCUUUCUCAUGGAUGGAUGGUCCCAAUUGAGUUGGACGUUUUCGGUGGGAAGCGGACAAACCAAAGCAGGUUCCCGUUUGACACCUAAACUUUCUUAUACAAAAUUACUUCUUGCAAGACCUUUUCCAACAUAACACUUACAUAUAAAUCUGCAUCCUUCUAACCCUAACGCUUUCUAGUUGUCUGAAUUGUGCCCAUAUUUUGAAGCACAUGAAAGUCUAUUCCUUGUCAUGGGAGCAAUCAAGAGAUUGCUUAGAUCACUAGCUCACUGUUGAACGUUGAUUGGUUGGCGCGAGCUUUGCUUCGAUCGUGAGGAGUGGGUGAUUUGAUCCAUUCAUCGCUUGUUCUGAGCAUUCGGGGACUAGGUUGUGGCAAGACAAAAUCUGAUUGGAAGUAUUGAUACAGGUUGUGGCAAGACAUUUUUUUAGUUUUAUAAUCCCUUUCUCGAGAAAAAAAGAACUACGUGUUCUGCACGUGACGUACGACAACAAAAAAAACUGGUGCUUUAUAGUAAUAGAAGACAAAACUAUAUCU
Molecule: long non-coding RNA, 2272 nt
Organism: Zea mays
Lineage: Eukaryota; Viridiplantae; Streptophyta; Magnoliopsida; Poales; Poaceae
Exons: 3
Source: RefSeq, a predicted model, not a curated record